This is a long non-coding RNA of Syzygium oleosum, 1221 nucleotides long. RefSeq lists it as uncharacterized. NCBI's taxonomy places the organism in Eukaryota, Viridiplantae, Streptophyta, Magnoliopsida, Myrtales, Myrtaceae. The transcript is spliced from 3 exons. The record is from RefSeq and is a predicted model, not a curated record.
CACAACUCUAGGGUUCCCGGGUGGGGCCUUUCCGUAAGGUGGCGGCGACACCUGGCGCCGGCGAAAGCGAGAGAAAGAAAAAAGUUGAAACGAUGGGAACUCCAAAGAGCACAAUCCUUACGUGAGGGAGCAAAAGCAUACAGAUUGACAUUGCACGUGUGAACCAAAGUUUAGUGUACGGGACAAAUUCAGUUUCAGUCUUCAAACGUUUGGAGGGGAUCUAUCUAUGGUGCCUCCGGGAACCAUGCCCCUUUGAUGUUAGAUCGUCGUAAUUCAGUACAAAAUAACAUAAAUUGCAGACACCCGUGUUCAUAUAGUCGUGAAUUGCCAAUGUCAUGAAGCACGUAGUUGUCCAUCGUAGUUGUUCAUGUAGUCGUGAUGGCUGUUUCGAUCUUUGGCAAAUCUGGGAGCUUCUUUUGGAUUUAUUGUGUUUAUGUUUGGUUUUUGUGAGUAAGAUGCAGAUUUUGAAUUGAGGCAUUAUUCUUUUUUUGGUGAAGGAGUUGAUUCAAUAUGCAGAAGAAGAUUGAGAUUAAGCUUGAGGUAGAGCACCCAAAACACAAAAACGAGGCAUUCAGGGUUGCAGCUCUAGCAGAUGAACGAUGAAUUGGUCUGACGCUCCACCUCUUGCUUUGCUGUUGAUGCCUACCACAAGAUGCUUUCGUUCAUGGCUAUUGCUGAUUCUACUAGCUGAUUUGGCUCUGGGUUGUGAGCUCUCACUACGCAAUCGUUUCGCGCCUUCCACUUAUGCCAUAGAAUCACCGAGGGAAGUUCAGAAGAAACCGAGGGCCGGGUAAAACCAGAUGUUUGUCGCCUCGGGGCGGAGUAGAAGGACGUGCUCAAUGGCCUCGGGUUGCUGAGGGGCAUAAUUGCAGAAAGGAUCAAGUACAAUUCUCUUCUUAACACGGAUUUUCCUGAGUAGACAGUGCAUUUUGACAAAUACUCCAAAGAAAAGAAACCUGAUUUUGGGUAGUGUUGGGGUCUGCCAUACUCUGGUCCAAAAAGGUCGUGGUGCUUGGAAAGAGGAUGAAGCUGUAUAAACAUCUGGUUUUGCAAGAUUCUCUCUGUUUUUACUGUACCCGCUCUUCACGGAAAAAAAGUCCCAGAUUUGGAGUUGGACCACACCAAUUUUGUCUUCUAUAUGGCCUGAGAUCCUAGAGGGACCGCAAGAAUUUCAUUGAUAGUCUCUUCAUAAAACAUAUCUCGUAGGAUGUGUUCAUUCCA